GACGUAGGGUGCAAGCAUUGUCCGGAUUUAUUGGGCGUAAAGAGCUCGUAGGCGGCUUGUCACGUCAGAUGUGAAAACUCGGGGCUCAACCCCGAGCCUGCAUUCGAUACGGGCUAGCUAGAGUGUUGCAGGGGAGACUGGAAUUCCUGGUGUAGCGGUGAAAUGCGCAGAUAUCAGGAGGAACACCGGUGGCGAAGGCGGGUCUCUGGGUAACUACUGACGCUGAGGAGCGAAAGCGUGGGGAGCGAACAGG
This 253-nucleotide ribosomal RNA is filed under the name uncultured Sporichthya sp. RNAcentral's name for it is "partial 16S ribosomal RNA". It matches the Rfam family "Bacterial small subunit ribosomal RNA", at positions 524 to 776 of the family's 1533-position model. The record is from RNAcentral. Lineage: Bacteria; Bacillati; Actinomycetota; Actinomycetes; Sporichthyales; Sporichthyaceae.